RNAcentral lists this ribosomal RNA (482 nucleotides) under uncultured bacterium. Its description in RNAcentral is "partial 16S ribosomal RNA". It matches the Rfam family "Bacterial small subunit ribosomal RNA", at positions 30 to 507 of the family's 1533-position model. The record is from RNAcentral.
AUUGAACGCUGGCGGCAUGCCUUACACAUGCAAGUCGAACGGUAACAGGUCUUCGGAUGCUGACGAGUGGCGAACGGGUGAGUAAUACAUCGGAACGUGCCCGAUCGUGGGGGAUAACGAGGCGAAAGCUUUGCUAAUACCGCAUACGAUCUACGGAUGAAAGCGGGGGAUCUUCGGACCUCGCGCGGACGGAGCGGCCGAUGGCAGAUUAGGUAGUUGGUGGGAUAAAAGCUUACCAAGCCGACGAUCUGUAGCUGGUCUGAGUGGAUGAUCAGCCACACUGGGACUGAGACACGGCCCAGACUCCUACGGGAGGCAGCAGUGGGGAAUUUUGGACAAUGGGCGAAAGCCUGAUCCAGCCAUGCCGCGUGCAGGAUGAAGGCCUUCGGGUUGUAAACUGCUUUUGUACGGAACGAAAAGCCUCUUUCUAAUAAAGAGGGGUCACGACGGUACCGUAAGAAUAAGCACCGGCUAACUACGUG